This 466-nucleotide ribosomal RNA is filed under the name uncultured bacterium. RNAcentral's name for it is "SSU rRNA". It matches the Rfam family "Bacterial small subunit ribosomal RNA", at positions 26 to 518 of the family's 1533-position model. The record is from RNAcentral.
AGGACUAACGCUGGCGGCGUGCCUAACACAUGCAAGUCGAACGGGGUAGCAAUACCCAGUGGCAGACGGGUGAGUAACACGUGGUCAACCUACCUCUAUGUGGGGGAUAACUAGCCGAAAGGUUAGCUAAUACCGCAUACGAUCGCUUUGGGGCAUCCCUAGGCGAUGAAAGGAGCAAUCCGCAUAGAGAGGGGACUGCGUCCCAUUAGUUAGUUGGUGGGGUAACGGCCUACCAAGACUCCGAUGGGUAGCUGGCUUGAGAGAGCGACCAGCCACACUGGAACUGAGACACGGUCCAGACUCCUAUGGGAGGCAGCAGUGAGGAAUUUUCCGCAAUGGGCGAAAGCCUGACGGAGCGACGCCGCGUGUGGGAAGAAGGCCUUCGGGUCGUAAACCACUGUCGAAGGGGACGAGUAAUGACGGUACCCUUGGAGGAAGCCCCGGCUAACUACGUGCCAGCAGCCGC